Molecule: ribosomal RNA, 460 nt
Filed under: uncultured bacterium
Lineage: Bacteria
Description: partial 16S ribosomal RNA
Rfam family: Bacterial small subunit ribosomal RNA
Source: RNAcentral
CCUACGGGGGGCAGCAGUGAGGAAUAUUGGUCAAUGGACGAGAGUCUGAACCAGCCAAGUAGCGUGAAGGAUGACUGCCCUAUGGGUUGUAAACUUCUUUUAUAUGGGAAUAAAAUGUUCCACGUGUGGGAUUUUGUAUGUACCAUAUGAAUAAGGAUCGGCUAACUCCGUGCCAGCAGCCGCGGUAAUACGGAGGAUCCGAGCGUUAUCCGGAUUUAUUGGGUUUAAAGGGAGCGUAGGUGGGUUGUUAAGUCAGUUGUGAAAGUUUGCGGCUCAACCGUAAAAUUGCAGUUGAUACUGGCAGUCUUGAGUACAGUAGAGGUGGGCGGAAUUCGUGGUGUAGCGGUGAAAUGCUUAGAUAUCACGAAGAACUCCGAUUGCGAAGGCAGUUCACUGGACUGCAACUGACACUGAGGCUCGAAAGUGUGGGUAUCAAACAGGAUUAGAUACCCUAGUAGUC